CAUCCCUUUGCAGCCACCACCUGCUGGUUGCCAGAGCAAAUCCCAAACAGGAAGAAGCAGGAGCAGAGCACUCACCAGGAGGAGGAAUCGGUGUUUCAGGUACUUGUGGGGCUGGAUGCAGCUGUACUGGGGACCCUGGUUGUAGACGGUGCCCGUGGGGUCGAAGAGGGGCACGUGGCCAGCCCUGCCUGUGCACAGGUGGACCUUCUCCAGCUGCAGCUUGUAAGCGGCGUUGAGGUUUUGUUCGGGGUGCCAGAGCACACGCCCGUACAGGAUCUGCCCUGGGGAGGUCGGGACAAAGAGGGGCAGGUGAAAUUUCCCAAGCAGGAAAACGCUGCUAGAGCCAAGUGUCCGUGUUCAGAAGGGUUUGAGUUGUUUGGGAAGGGCUCGGUGUGUGGGACUGACAAAACGUGGUGCCAGAGCACGCUGUUCUUUCACAGGGCUGUAAGAUGUCAAUUACUGCUGUAGAAGAGGCAAAGCUACAUGUGGGUUUUGCCCUUUCCUCUCCAGGGAAUGGAAGCUGUGAAAGCAGGAACACUGGGCACAAGCAGAAGAGGAGAGGUAAAUCCUACCCUUGGAAAAGCCCCCUUGUAAUCCAUUUCUGCCAGAGACCUUUCUGAUUUGGUGGGGUCCAUUAGAAAAACCUUCUCGUUGUUACAGAGCUGAAACUCUGUGUUCAGGGAGUAAACAACUGGAAUUGGGCGGUUUGUCUGCUGGAAGGAGAUCGGGAUCAAAACCUGCAAUUGGGACAAGGAAGAACACAAAGGGGAGAUGAGGUUUGGACAGGUGUGCACCCCAAAGGGGCCGAGCCUGCCCUCCUGCCCUCUUACCGCUCGGGAGCGUGAGCCGUGCAGGGCAGGGGCUCGGCCCCAAGCUCUGCCCACGGCUGCGUGGGCUGCACCGUGCAGAGGAUCAGGAAGAUGGUGUAUUCUCCAGAGUAAAUCUUCCUGUUGUAGGAGCUGGUUGCUCUCCAGAGCUGGUAGGGAGAAUCAAAAGUCUGAGCGCUCCACA
RNAcentral lists this long non-coding RNA (1011 nucleotides) under Cyanistes caeruleus (blue tit). RNAcentral describes it as "lncRNA (ENSCCEG00000000879.1)". The record is from RNAcentral. Lineage: Eukaryota; Metazoa; Chordata; Aves; Passeriformes; Paridae.